This 1107-nucleotide long non-coding RNA is filed under the name Ananas comosus (pineapple). RNAcentral's name for it is "long non-coding RNA (ACOM_LNC032899)". The record is from RNAcentral. Lineage: Eukaryota; Viridiplantae; Streptophyta; Magnoliopsida; Poales; Bromeliaceae.
UUUAUUCACACGCUUGCAUUGCUGAGAGUAUCUGUGCAAAACUGCUUUCUUACAUAGAUAUCCUUGGCAAGAACAUGUCGAGGAUACACACACAGAGUAACUUCGUAGGAAUAUUUGCUCAAUUUUGCUUAGAAAUAUACUCUUUAGGCUCUAUUUGGAUGUCGGAAUAAGCUAUCAAUUGACAACGAAUCCAGUGUAAAGAUUGUGUCAUGUGACUAGAAGAUAUGAGUUUUUCUUGUUCCGUCAAAUCUUGGAUAUUUAUGAUUUAAUAAGAUAGUAUAUUUCACCUACGAAAUGAAUUAUUUUAUUUCGAAAAUAUGACUCAAAAGGUCGAACGUAGUAUUCAUUCAAGACAUUUUGAUCACACCACAUUUACCAAAUACCAUAUGCUUCCUAAGUAAACUCGAAAAGAUAUACCGUAUAAGACGUUAAUGCAUCCAAACAGAGCCUCAAAGUAUAGAGAGAGAGAGAAAAGAUAUACUGUAUAAGACGUUAAUGCAUCCAAACAGAGCCUCAAAGUAUAGAGAGAGAGAGAAAAGAUAUACCGUAUAAGACGUUAAUGCAUCCAAACAGAGCCUCAAAGUAUAGAGAGAGAGAGAAAAGAUAUACUGUAUAAGACGUUAAUGCAUCCAAACAGAGCCUCAAAGUAUAGAGAGAGAGAGAAAAGAUAUACCGUAUAAGACGUUAAUGCAUCCAAACAGAGCCUCAAAGUAUAGAGAGAGAGAGAAAAGAUAUACCGUAUAAGACGUUAAUGCAUCCAAACAGAGCCUCAAAGUAUAGAGAGAGAGAGAAAAGAUAUACCGUAUAAGACGUUAAUGCAUCCAAACAGAGCCUCAAAGUAUAGAGAGAGAGAGAAAAGAUAUACCGUAUAAGACGUUAAUGCAUCCAAACAGAGCCUCAAAGUAUAGAGAGAGAGAGAAAAGAUAUACCGUAUAAGACGUUAAUGCAUCCAAACAGAGCCUCAAAGUAUAGAGAGAGAGAGAAAAGAUAUACCGUAUAAGACGUUAAUGCAUCCAAACAGAGCCUCAAAGUAUAGAGAGAGAGAGAGAGAGAGAGAGUACCAUGCAGGUGACCUCCUUUUUUCCCCUUCUCUACUACUUUCUCCCA